CUGACUCUCCGCAGCACCUCUGCAGAGCCUGGCAUGUAGAAGGUGCUCAGUGAAUACUGGUUGAGUGAAUAAACAAGAAAAACCCUGAAGACCAGGAGAACAUGGUUAUUUUAUAAAACGUCACAAAAGGUAAGGGGAAAACAAACAGUGGAGAAGCGGGAGCAGCUAAUCUGUGAUCUUGAUGGAGAAGAGGUGCUGCGUAUGUAUCCAUAAUGAAAGACCAAGAUUGACAGGAGGAAGAUGGGCCAGGCAGGAGGGUAUAAAUAGCAGCGCUGGCUUAUUUGUAACUUUCAUUUUUAGGUAAGGAUGAUUGGCACAUGGAUGGCUUGGAUGAAGGGAGCCCCCUGAUCUUUAACUUGCAGGUCACAUGGAGAAAACUUUGCAAAAAUGCUCCAACAUGGAGAUGUCAACUUGAGUGACAGCCCUGUGCGAGGUGCCUUGCUCCGGCUGCCUUCUUUACAUGCAUGGCUUCACAGAAAUGAUGACUGCCAUUUGAACAGAAAGACAUCCUUCCCAACCGGGGUCAGGAAACUGACAGGGCCCACCCAUUAAUAGAAAUAACUGUCAUUUAAAAUAAAAUGCUUGGUGGAAAA
This is a long non-coding RNA of Homo sapiens (human), 593 nucleotides long. RefSeq lists it as uncharacterized. The record is from RefSeq and is a predicted model, not a curated record. The transcript is spliced from 2 exons. Lineage: Eukaryota; Metazoa; Chordata; Mammalia; Primates; Hominidae.